AGACCCGAAACCCGGUGAUCUAGCCAUGGGCAGGUUGAAGGUUGGGUAACACUAACUGGAGGACCGAACCGACUAAUGUUGAAAAAUUAGCGGAUGACCUGUGGCUGGGGGUGAAAGGCCAAUCAAACCGGGAGAUAGCUGGUUCUCCCCGAAAGCUAUUUAGGUAGCGCCUCGUGAAUUCAUCUCCGGGGGUAGAGCACUGUUUCGGCUAGGGGGCCAUCCCGGCUUACCAACCCGAUGCAAACUGCGAAUACCGGAGAAUGUUAUCACGGGAGACACACGGCGGGUGCUAACGUCCGUCGUGAAGAGGGAAACAACCCAGACCGCCAGCUAAGGUCCCAAAGUCAUGGUUAAGUGGGAAACGAUGUGGGAAGGCCCAGACAGCCAGGAUGUUGGCUUAGAAGCAGCCAUCAUUUAAAGAAAGCGUAAUAGCUCACUGGUCGAGUCGGCCUGCGCGGAAGAUGUAACGGGGCUAAACCAUGCACCGAAGCUGCGGCAGCGACACUCAGGUGUUGUUGGGUAGGGGAGCGUUCUGUAAGCCUGUGAAGGUGGCCUGUGAGGGUUGCUGGAGGUAUCAGAAGUGCGAAUGCUGACAUAAGUAACGAUAAAGCGGGUGAAAAGCCCGCUCGCCGGAAGACCAAGGGUUCCUGUCCAACGUUAAUCGGGGCAGGGUGAGUCGACCCCUAAGGCGAGGCCGAAAGGCGUAGUCGAUGGGAAACGGGUUAAUAUUCCCGUACUUGGUGUUACUGCGAAGGGGGGACGGAGAAGGCUAUGUUGGCCGGGCGACGGUUGUCCCGGUUUAAGCGUGUAGGUGUGUGUUCCAGGUAAAUCCGGUUCACUUUAACACUGAGGCGUGAUGACGAGGCACUACGGUGCUGAAGCAACAAAUGCCCUGCUUCCAGGAAAAGCCUCUAAGCAUCAGGUAACAUCAAAUCGUACCCCAAACCGACACAGGUGGUCAGGUAGAGAAUACCAAGGCGCUUGAGAGAACUCGGGUGAAGGAACUAGGCAAAAUGGUGCCGUAACUUCGGGAGAAGGCACGCUGACACGUAGGUGAAGUGAUUUACUCACGGAGCUGAAGUCAGUCGAAGAUACCAGCUGGCUGCAACUGUUUAUUAAAAACACAGCACUGUGCAAACACGAAAGUGGACGUAUACGGUGUGACGCCUGCCCGGUGCCGGAAGGUUAAUUGAUGGGGUCAGCGCAAGCGAAGCUCCUGAUCGAAGCCCCGGUAAACGGCGGCCGUAACUAUAACGGUCCUAAGGUAGCGAAAUUCCUUGUCGGGUAAGUUCCGACCUGCACGAAUGGCGUAAUGAUGGCCAGGCUGUCUCCACCCGAGACUCAGUGAAAUUGAACUCGCUGUGAAGAUGCAGUGUACCCGCGGCAAGACGGAAAGACCCCGUGAACCUUUACUAUAGCUUGACACUGAACAUUGAGCCUUGAUGUGUAG
Molecule: ribosomal RNA, 1450 nt
Filed under: Salmonella enterica subsp. enterica serovar Aqua
Lineage: Bacteria; Pseudomonadati; Pseudomonadota; Gammaproteobacteria; Enterobacterales; Enterobacteriaceae
Description: partial 23S ribosomal RNA
Rfam family: Bacterial large subunit ribosomal RNA
Source: RNAcentral